RNAcentral lists this unclassified non-coding RNA (399 nucleotides) under Hevea brasiliensis (rubber tree). Lineage: Eukaryota; Viridiplantae; Streptophyta; Magnoliopsida; Malpighiales; Euphorbiaceae. The record is from RNAcentral.
UUUUAUUAUACUCGCUCUCUCUCUCUCUCUCAUGGCGACUGCGGCUUUCAGAGGGGUAAGUCUCUCCUUCUCUCUCUCUGUCUACUUUGUUAAGAUCUGACUGUUCUGCUUUUUUGUUGUAUAAAUAAUUUUAUCUAGUCUCUUUGUGUUUCCAUGUUGAUUCUGAUUUAUUAACUUGUAGUUUUGGGUGCAAUAUUUCUCAUUCUAAUCGGUUUCAAAGUAAUUACUUCGAGUUUCGAUUUAAUUACUUCUAUAAAAUUCUGUAUUUUGCUGGAUUGCUUUCGUAUCCCUUCCUCCCUCACCUUUUGAGUUUCUUAUUUACUAAUUUAUGUUCUGGAUUUGUAAUUUGUUGAUAUGUGGAGUCAUGAUUGAUGGGAAAAUCUGAUUUUUCCUUUUUUU